Urocitellus parryii (Arctic ground squirrel) is the source of this 227-nucleotide non-coding RNA. The record is from RefSeq and is a predicted model, not a curated record. Lineage: Eukaryota; Metazoa; Chordata; Mammalia; Rodentia; Sciuridae.
UGAACACCAGGCAGCUGAUUUAAUCAUUUAAUCAAGAAUUAUUGUCCUGAAUGAGGAGCAGAGAUGCUGAUAAAGCAUUCCCACAUGUGUGGAGAUCCGGGCUGGUACUGCCUUUGGGACCGUCCACAAGAACAUGGAUGAUCUGUGAACCCGGUCACCUAUUCAUUCACUGCUUCCUGUGAAGACCUGGCCUUUCCUCUCUUUGGAUAAGAAGAGAAGAUGUCAAC